GCAAAGAGGGAUACGAUGUAACUCUCUGGAUCCGAAGCGGAGGUAAAGUAAUAAGUCGAGAUAUCGUUUCAGUCGCCCUUUAGAUUUCUGGUUGGCGAUUCGAUUGUUGACUCGACCACAU
Small nucleolar RNA from Dendrobium catenatum, 121 nucleotides. RefSeq annotates it as small nucleolar RNA snoR111. The transcript has a single exon. The record is from RefSeq and is a predicted model, not a curated record. Lineage: Eukaryota; Viridiplantae; Streptophyta; Magnoliopsida; Asparagales; Orchidaceae.